CGCGUAGGCGGUCCUUUAAGUCAGAUGUGAAAGCCCGGGGCUCAACCCCGGAAGUGCAUUUGAAACUAAGGGACUUGAGUAUGGGAGAGGGAAGUGGAAUUCCUGGUGUAGCGGUGAAAUGCGUAGAUAUCAGGAGGAACACCGGUGGCGAAGGCGACUUCCUGGACCAAUACUGACGCUCAGGCGCGAAGGCGUGGGGAGCAAACA
RNAcentral lists this ribosomal RNA (207 nucleotides) under uncultured bacterium. RNAcentral describes it as "partial 16S ribosomal RNA". It matches the Rfam family "Bacterial small subunit ribosomal RNA", at positions 568 to 774 of the family's 1533-position model. The record is from RNAcentral.